GACGAACGCUGGCGGCGUGCCUGAUACAUGCAAGUCGAACGAACCGCGACUAGGUGCUUGCACUUGGUCAAGGUGAGUGGCGAACGGGUGAGUAACACGUGGGUAACCUACCUCAUAGUGGGGGAUAACAGUCGGAAACGACUGCUAAUACCGCAUAGGACAUAGGAUCACAUGAUUCUGUGAGGAAAGGUGGCGCAAGCUAUCGCUAAGAGAUGGACCCGCGGUGCAUUAGCUAGUUGGUAGGGUAAAGGCCUACCAAGGCGAUGAUGCAUAGCCGACCUGAGAGGGUGAUCGGCCACAUUGGGACUGAGACACGGCCCAAACUCCUACGGGAGGCAGCAGUAGGGAAUCUUCCGCAAUGGACGCAAGUCUGACGGAGCAACGCCGCGUGAGUGAAGAAGGUCUUCGGAUCGUAAAGCUCUGUUGUUAGAGAAGAACAGCGCAUAGAGUAACUGUUAUGCGUGUGACGGUAUCUAACCAGAAAGCCACGGCUAACUACGUG
RNAcentral lists this ribosomal RNA (502 nucleotides) under uncultured bacterium. RNAcentral describes it as "partial 16S ribosomal RNA". It matches the Rfam family "Bacterial small subunit ribosomal RNA", at positions 28 to 507 of the family's 1533-position model. The record is from RNAcentral.